Molecule: long non-coding RNA, 366 nt
Organism: Leptopilina heterotoma
Lineage: Eukaryota; Metazoa; Arthropoda; Insecta; Hymenoptera; Figitidae
Exons: 2
Source: RefSeq, a predicted model, not a curated record
AACUCUAAGAAACUACUUAUUCUUUAAACCGUCUUUUAACUAAUUAUCAUCAUCAUUAACACUCGUGGAAAAAAAAUAAAGAUGAUGAACUGCAAAAUUUUUGGACUCUUUAUGUUGAUUGCUGCAAUUUUAAUAAUGACACCAACAACAUUGGCCCAGUGUAUUCGUAGCAGGAAGAGAUGUGAACCUGACAGAAGUUGGACUGACGGCGGAAGAAAUAAUGGACUCUGUUGCUCUGGUUUUUGUAGCAAACAACUAAAUUGGGAACCUGGUUAUUGUCAAUAAAAAUAAGUUUUAAGACACUUAUAUUUUGGAUAUUCUGAAAAUCAUUUAAAAAAAAGUUGAUUAAAAUUUAUUCCAGUAAUA